This is a long non-coding RNA of Marmota monax (woodchuck), 3534 nucleotides long. RefSeq lists it as uncharacterized. The record is from RefSeq and is a predicted model, not a curated record. The transcript is spliced from 3 exons. Lineage: Eukaryota; Metazoa; Chordata; Mammalia; Rodentia; Sciuridae.
GCUGCUUCAGUGAGAACUCGGUUCCUCUCUUCAGCUUCACGCCGGGAAACUGCGAUUUCAGUUCUUGAUUUCUCAGGAAUUACACAGAACAGAGCCGGAACUGCUGCCGAGCCUGAUUCUCCAAUCUGAAAUUCGCAUCCACAGCAUAAGCUUGGAGGGGAGCCUGAGAGGGAGGCUGGGAGAACUGGGACCAUCUCUAACGGCCAGAGGCCCCCCCACUUCAAUUCCAGAGCUGGAGUGUCAGAGGGGCGUGUGGCCACCGCUGAAGGGGUGGGCCCCAUCUUCCUUGGAGCCAGAGGUGCUCCCUGAGAACCGCAGCCGACUUGGUGUUCAGCCAGGGCCCAGCCGGAUAGCAACGCUGGAGGGCAGACAUGGGACACCUGAGGAUUCGCAGAAGCAGAAUCCUCAGGCACAUUCCUCAGGCCUCCCCAGGCACAUUCCUCAGGCCUCCCCAGCCUCCGGAUCCAGCUUGGACCUGGCCAAAUGGAUGUGACCUCACUUCUAACGGGUGGGAAGAUCCCACUGACCAAGGGGUGGGGCCACACUCUGCCCACAAUUGACGGGAGAAGUGAAAACCGCCAAGUGCAAUCUGAGUGAUCAGUGGGGACUGGAUGUGGAACAGGAGAAGACGAACCCGCCUGCGGCCAUUGUCACAGGAUAACCCAGCUGGGAGUGCCCUGGGCUAGGAUUUCAGGAACCUUAUCCUGAGAUUUUGGACUGGUAAACAGGUUGCUGAAAUAGACUCCUGCUCACCUGGAGACAGCUGGCUUCCUGUGGGGGCCGGGGAGUCGGGAGGGCACCAGGGGCCCCAGGUCCUGUCUGUCCUCACUCUCAGAACCCGGCAUCACACCAACUCCAGCUCAGGUGACACCUGGAUGCCAAGUUCAAGGACCCAGGGCCACCUGAAGUUACUGUAGAUCUCAGUGGCCUCAAGGGAAGGAGGGCGUCAGGGAUAGUCAGCCUGUCCUGUUGUGCAGGAGCCAGCCCCAGAAUCCCCUGGAGGGCUUGCGAAAAGGCAGGCCUCUCCUGAGUGUGACUCAUGGAGUGGGUGAGGACCAGAGACUGCAUUUCUGUCCUGUCCCCACACAGCCUGGUAUAGCUGGUCCUGAGAACACUUGGGAGGACAGCCAGGCCCCAGGCCUGCGGGUAGUGGGAGGCUGCGGGAGGGUUGUAGAGGACACCAAACACUGCCCGGGCUCUUUGAGGGUGGCCUUUCCAUGGCCCUGGGGGCUCUGGAGGGAGGUCAGAGCCCCACACCUCUUGCCAUCCUGUUCCGAAAGCCUGCUGUGGCCCCGGUCCUCCCUGCUCACUCCCUCACGCCAACCUCUCCCUCACACCCAUCGUGGGCCCUGCGUUGUUCUGGGGACCCCGCGGGGAAGGCCAGCCAGGUGUCCACCCUCGCAAAGCAUGCUCUGCACGGGCACCACCAAAACCAAACUGAAGCGCAUGACCAAGGGUGCUUUUUUUUUUUUAAUAUUUUUUAGUUGUUGAUGGACAUUUAUUUAUUUAUUUGUAUGUGGUGCUGAGAAUCGAACUCAGUGCCUCGUGCAUGCUAGACAAGCACACUACGACUGAGCCACAACCCCAGCCCCCCAAGAGCGCUUUUUUAUCUCAUUUAGCUUUCUAGGUACUGAGUCGGAGCCCAGGGUGCUCCACCACCAAGAUGCACGUCUUAUUUCGAGACAGGUUCCCACUAAGUUGCUGAGGCCCACAGUCUGAGUUCCUCUUCUCCCUCCCUCUGACUGUUGAGGCUGGCUUUGAAUUGGCGAGCCUCCUGCCUCAGCCUCCGGAGCUGCUGAGAUCACAGGCGUGUGCCACUGCACCUUGCUUAAAAGGUAUUACUUUCAUGGGCUGCUCAGGGAGGUCUCACUGAGAAGGUGACAUUGGAGGUGAGACUCAAAGAAGCUGCUGUGGAGACUGAGACUUUUUAAUACAGGGAAUAUUUAAAACAGGGAGCACCGCACAUGCUUAGGUUCUGGGGUGGCACAAGGGGAGCAGGAGGGAAGAUCCACAAAAACUCAGGGGGGGCUGCCUCCUGGGCAGCCGUGGAGGAGGACUGGAGGUGGGCCCAGGGGUCCAGCUUCUAUUCCUGCCCUGCGGGAACCUGCGGAGUGCUGAAGCAGGAAGGAACGCAACCCCUUGGCCUCGACCAGCUGCGCUGUGCAGCCUCCAAAACGGGCCUUCACAGAGCGGGUCCCAUACCUGGAAGCAUUUUUCUCAGGUGUCAUUAGAGACCUGUUGGUGUGACAACAAUAUCUUGGUCUGCACAGGUCUGUGACCUGUGUGAGGCACAGCUAGUGCCCCUGUGUCCCCCCCAUAGGGAGCGUUCAGUCUGCACCGUCCAGUGAAGGGCCCUGUCCACCCCCCUUCCCAGGCAGGAGCCUCCAGCUGUGCCCAGGCAGGUGUCCCUGCCCACUGUGUGCCCCUGAGCAUCCUGGACACUGCUUCUGCAUGGGUGCUGGACGCCCGGCUGGAGGAUGCCCCCUGGGGAGAGAGCCCCAGGGAGCUGCUGGCCUGGGGUGGGUCUUGAAGAGCAGUUUCUCACCUAAAGGGCUCUGGGCACGGGCUGGCUUCCCAGAGGUGCCUGCCAGGCGCAGGCCAGGUCGGGCUGCCCUCCACCCUGCUGUUGUUGACAGAGCCCCGGGGCCUCUGCAGCUCGGUUGGGCGGGGAGGAGGGUGCUGGUGAGGAGGCCAGUGUUCUGGGCAGGAAGGAAACACCCUCUGGUAGGGAGAUCGGCAGGGCAGAUCGGGACUUGCUGAAACGCUGUCAGGCUGGAGCCCAGAGACCUGGCUUCCCUGGGACAGGCUGGAGUGUGGCAGGCCCACACACGGGGAGAGAACCUGGAGCCUGAAAACCCAGCUCAGCCUCCAACAAACCUGAGCUCGUAAACUCUGGUCCUGGGAACAGAAGUCCAAACAAAAAGGGAGGGAGGAGAGGGACUCAGACUGCGGGCUUUUUGUUCACUUUUAGACACUUUCUUGAAAGCCACCAUCACAACUAAGCCAUGUCACAGUCCACAUUUCAGUUCCUUGAACAACCAAAGUUCAGGCCGACCACAGGGUCUUUGCACAUGCCAUGCUCACCACUUGGAAUGCCCACCCCAUUUCAUCCAGCUCUCUCUUCAAUGUCACCUCCCCCGGGAAGGGCCACCCUCCUCCACUGUCCUCCUAACCACUCUAUUUUGUUUCUUUCUCGCCAUUUAACACAUUAGUCGGCUCUGUAUCUGCGGAUCUCACAUCCGCACGUUGACCAACGGUGCAUGGGAGAUAUUUAAAAAUAUGAUGUUAAUAUGUGAAUGUGCAGACUCUGUCACCGUUCCCCAGACAAGGCACUACAGCAACUGUUGGCUCAUUUACACUGUGUUAGGCCUUACAAGUCAUCUAGAGAGGAUCUCAAGUGUAGGGGAGGGUUCGUGUUGAUUACAGGUAAACAUGACAUCAUCUUAUACAAGGGACCUAAUUAUCCUUGGAAUUUGGCAUGGGCGGAGGUCCUGGAGCCAAUUGCUGUGGACUCCAAGGGAUGACUAUCUGAAA